Homo sapiens (human) is the source of this 406-nucleotide long non-coding RNA. RefSeq lists it as uncharacterized. The record is from RefSeq and is a predicted model, not a curated record. The transcript has 3 exons. NCBI's taxonomy places the organism in Eukaryota, Metazoa, Chordata, Mammalia, Primates, Hominidae.
CUGAAAAGACACAAAAAGAAGGAUCACAGUCCAUUCCUCCAGUUGUUAGCUUUCUGGAGAUCAGAAGUCCUAAAAUGAAGGUAUCAGCAAGGCUAUCUUCCUUCCAAAGAUUCUUAGGGGGAAUCAGUUUCCUGGCCUUUUUCAGCUUUUCCAGGUGGUGGGUAGAAAGAAGAAAACCACAGAGAUAAAUUGCCAUUUUCAUCAAAUCAUAUGAAGGGUAUAUUUUAUCGAUAUAACUUACCACUGUUGGUGUUAACUAUAAUCAUCUGACUGAGAUAGUGUUUAUCAGUUUUCUCUGUAGUAAAAUUACUCUUCCCUUUCCCUUUCCAAAAGUACUCUUAAGAAAAAAAUACUAUGUAUAGCUCAAAUCCUUGGGGUAGUAUCUACACAAAUUAUUCUGAAUUGU